RNAcentral lists this ribosomal RNA (309 nucleotides) under uncultured bacterium. Its description in RNAcentral is "partial 16S ribosomal RNA". It matches the Rfam family "Bacterial small subunit ribosomal RNA", at positions 504 to 807 of the family's 1533-position model. The record is from RNAcentral.
AGAGACAGCAGUAGCCGCGGGAAAACGGAGGGUGCAAGCGUUAAUCGGAAUUACUGGGCGUAAAGCGCACGCAGGCGGUCUGACAAGUCAGAUGUGAAAUCCCCGGGCUUAACCUGGGAACUGCAUUUGAAACUGUCAGGCUGGAGUCUUGUAGAGGGGGGUGGAAUUCCAGGUGUAGCGGUGAAAUGCGUAGAGAUCUGGAGGAAUACCGGUGGCGAAGGCGGCCCCCUGGACAAAGACUGACGCUCAGGUGCGAAAGCGUGGGGAGCAAACAGGAUUAGAUACCCCGGUAGUCCCUGUCUCUUAUAC